AUUGAGGAGGGCGGAGUGGAAGGCACUUCGAUCAUUUCAUACCGAAACCAAUUUAUUUCCACCCUCCGCUUCCCGAACAAACAAAAAAUUUAGGCAAAAUUCAACACAUUUUGAUCUCGGUACCUUCAAUAAGGUUGGUUUCUUUUACUUGAAUUUGUAUUUCCGUAUUUGUUUUUCCUUUUAGAAAUUUUGUUAGAUGCGUAAUUUUUCGAUUUAAUUUUAUCGUUUUUUUUUAAAUUUUUUCAAUUUAGGUAAGGUCCUUAAAUACUGGAGAUAACGACAAGAGGGGUCUUUUUUUCGCGACGAAGCCGAAAAAACAUGUAGUAUAUAGGGAGUUACCUAGGUAACGUGGGUAAUUAAAAUGUUGUCUGAUAUUUUAAGUAGUAUAGUCUUUAAGAAUUACAAUAUCAGUACUGUACUGACAAAUGAAGGUAACUUUCAUAAUCCCAACAGGGAGACAAACGAAUAAAAAUGCAACUAAAUGUAAACAUAUAUGCGGGAGUGCAUAAAUUACGUUAGUUAGUUCCAAGUGCAAUUCCUGAGUGGAAAAAAUGAUAAAAUCAACACUGUCCAACGGUCUAUGCUUACAAGUAUUAAAAAAUACAUGCGCCAUAAGUCCCAGAACAGUUGCGCACCACUAGAGAAACAAGCAAAGAACUUAUUGGUCAUAAUGACAAUUUUUCUUCACUUCUGGUUUGUCCUUCACAAUUUUUAUUUUUGAAUAUACCCAAAAAAAAUAUGUUUAAAAUACCUACUAACCAGAAUUAUGUAAAAUAUACAGGUUGUUCUAUUUAAAGGAAUCGGAGGUGAAAAAAAUUGUCAAUAUGACCAAUGAAUUCUUUGCGUUUUACUCCAACUUUACCCUAAUUUUGAAAAAAAAAGGUUAAUGGACAACCGAGGUAUUUAACCGUUCCGGGACCUAUGGCGCACUUAUAUGUGUAUUUGUAGUUAAAAUUUCCUAUUCGAUCAUGCACUUGCCUUGAUUAAAAGUAGUCAAGAAAUUUAAUAUAGAUGUUACUUUUUGAAUAUAACGGCGCAUUUCACUGACAAUUAGAGUGAAAUAUUUUUAUAACGUACGGUUUCCGCUUUGUUAUUUGAGUGGACUUAUAUGAGUUUGAGUUUAAAGAGUACUGUGCACAAAAGUUAAUAAAUUGAGAGUUUUAGGUUGUAACGGUUGGUUGUGAUUUUGAAGUGUAGGGAUUUUGGUCACGUAUUAGUAUUGCUCGUAGUGUGAUUAUUGGUUUGCUUUGUCUUCGAGAGCCUUCGGAAUUUACACGAUUCGAGACCGGUCUGUAGAAGGAAAUGUCGGCUUUGUAAUUUUAUUGACACUUGGAAAGUUGUUGCUUGAUGGAAAUUGGUUAAAAAUUGGGAUAUCCGUUUGGUUUGACUUGCAGAAAUCAGUUUGUCUGGAUGCCGAUUGCCACGAGAUUGACCUUUUCUACAUCUAUAUGGUGCAUUUUGGGGUUACGCGGUAAUUUAUAUAGUUAUCGGAGUUAGUUGCAACAACUCGUGUUUAGCUAAUUUAUUUUAAGUCAUCCGCUUCUUACUAAAGGUAAGGAUUAUUCCGAAUUUGUGUCUGAUUGUUUCAAUGUUCCAUGUGAGGUUUAUUUGUAGCGGUUCUUGUUCCUGAAGUAAUCUUGGGAAGGGGUUUUUGUUAUAUGGUACCGUACCGAAUGAGGAUUUAAACGUUGGGAUAUGGAUUUAUGUAUGAUGUAACUUGCUUGCUAAGUGUUAAUCGCAGAGGACCUUGCGGGUUGUAGUUCAUGUCAAAUUGGGAGCUGAACUCCGUUGCUAAUAAUUAUUUGAAAGCAUCUCGUACUGAAGAUCACGCUUUUGAGAGAUUACGCUUUUGGAGAAUUUGUAUGCACCUUUUUGUACAAUUCGUAGCGUAAAUUGUUGUCAACUUAAUAAUGUGCCAAUUUGGAUAAUUACUAUGGAGUCACCGACAAAUCAAGUACCUAGAUAUCUUGUGUGUGUCUUAAGUUUAUUUACAUUGUUUUGGGUGAGUUCCAGUGGAUGCUUGCUGGAAAUUUUACUGUUAUAACUGUUCUAAGGUUUUCAAUACGGACCUUGAUUUUCAAUAGACUUUUAUUUGAUUUUUUUUGUUUAGUAGUUUAGUGACAGGUCUACUAUUUUUACGACGUGAGAACUCUCAAAAAGUCAUUACGAAAAUAGACACUUCCGUUAAAAACACUUUUCAUAAAAUUGUGUGCAGGUCGUACCUCACAGGCUGUAAUUAAAAAUUUAGCGGAUAAAUUUGAGUCAACAGCAGGAUCGGUACGCAACAUAACAUCAAGUGAAUGUGUUCUCUACCGGUCGUUGAAUUGAAAAUAUUGCUAGUUAAAGUUUUACUUAAGCUGAAUUCUACGGCGUUUAUAGCAAUCGGGGUAAUCCACAACCAUUAUUUUAUGCAAAAAUUUGGCUAUAAAGCCUUAUACAGUGCAGGUCAUUCAAAAACCGAAUUCACUUUUACUAUACCUUUACAUUUACAGUAUCGACAUUUUUUCAUCAUUGAACAAGAUGCUGUUAGAUUAAAAAAAUUGCUGCAUCUGGGCUUCAGGAAAUCCUAGAAAGCCUCUUAAACAACCUUUAGGUACAUUCAGAGUGUGUCACUGUGUGGUGGUUGGACUCCAGCCCCCUUCCUUCAGAGGUUUGGAAUUUCGGAUGGAAUUAUUGAAAUAACUUCCGAUGGGACACUGCAUUGAAACGACAAGUUUAACUAAUAGAGGAAAGGGUGCAAAUAUGGGCUGGUCUUGUAAUAUGGGCUAGAUACGUUUCUCAGCUAUUCGAUGCAGAUUUCUUCAUCUGACUAUUGCAAACGGUAAUUGGUGAAGUAAAAUUGUCACCGUAGCGAUGGCGCCACAGUGGUAGAUGUUUCACACUUUAUAAUAAAUGUUUGUCAGUUACUGUGAGUGUCAAAACUUUUUCGGGAUGUCAAGACAAGAGCUGAAAGAAGCGAAAAAAAGAAAACAAUGGGAUGAAAAAGAUAUGGAACGUGCGAUAAUAGCUGUCAGGCAGCAUGAAAUGGGUACGCUAAAAGUGUUCAGUAAUAACCGCUUCACCGUACAAAAAUGAAUUGAUCCAGUCGCUCAACAAAGUCAAAGGGAAACAAAAAGGUACAGAAGAAGACAAAGAAAACAGAAAAGGAA
This is a long non-coding RNA of Photinus pyralis (common eastern firefly), 3149 nucleotides long. RefSeq lists it as uncharacterized. Lineage: Eukaryota; Metazoa; Arthropoda; Insecta; Coleoptera; Lampyridae. The transcript is spliced from 2 exons. The record is from RefSeq and is a predicted model, not a curated record.